Molecule: ribosomal RNA, 468 nt
Filed under: uncultured bacterium
Lineage: Bacteria
Description: partial 16S ribosomal RNA
Rfam family: Bacterial small subunit ribosomal RNA
Source: RNAcentral
GACGAACGCUGGCGGCGUGCUUAACACAUGCAAGUCGAACGGAAAGGCCCUGCUUUUGUGGGGUGCUCGAGUGGCGAACGGGUGAGUAACACGUGAGUAACCUGCCCUUGACUUUGGGAUAACUUCAGGAAACUGGGGCUAAUACCGGAUAGGAGCUCCUGCUGCAUGGUGGGGGUUGGAAAGUUUCGGCGGUUGGGGAUGGACUCGCGGCUUAUCAGCUUGUUGGUGGGGUAGUGGCUUACCAAGGCUUUGACGGGUAGCCGGCCUGAGAGGGUGACCGGCGACAUUGGGACUGAGAUACGGCCCAGGCUCCUACGGGAGGCAGCAGUGGGGAAUAUUGCACAAUGGGCGGAAGCCUGAUGCAGCAACGCCGCGUGCGGGAUGACGGCCUUCGGGUUGUAAACCGCUUUCGCCUGUGACGAAGCGUGAGUGACGGUAAUGGGUAAAGAAGCACCGGCUAACUACGUG